GAGAGACGCUGGACCUGACACAAACUAGUGCCGCCCCCCCCAGCCACCACAGGGGUGGGGCAGAGGCAGGGACCAGAGAAGACCGGCUUCCACGCCUCACCAGUAUAUUCACUCUCACUGGGCCCACCCUGUGCUCCACUGGCAGUCGGUGGGGAUGGCCUCUGAAGGGACUACCAGCAGGAUGUCAAGAGAGCCAGAUUUCUGCGGCCUUUGUUUCACCUGAGAUAAGGUCUACCCGCUCCCUUUUUUUGGCCCUUUGUGAAUGAGAGAACCACGGGAUGGGACGCAGCUCAACACUGAGAUAUGGUUCCCCACCGUGGGAGGAAUCCCGUUCCCAACGUGGAAAAGAGACAGCAAGAACAGGGCGCAGCAGCGGCACUUGGCCUGGAGUCGCCACACUUUCCCCGUCGCCAUGGCAACCCUUGCCGGCUGGAUGGGACAGAAUGCUGAGAAUACGCAGAAGGGAAAUGAUGUAGGACAGCGGCAGCAAGAGGGUUCCUGCCUGACGCACGCACGCACGGCCACCCUGCCACCCUGUCCUGCCCCCAACCCAGCACAGGCACCAGCACUUUCUAAGUGCACAGAGAGUAAUAAGAACAGCAGUCGUUCGGAUGCUAAUAAUGAUGAACACGUACUGAGGGCACUAACUGCCGGACGGAAACAAAUCAAGGCGCCCAGAGACCCCACGUCUGAAGGUCGUGGAGCUGCACUCUCCGUAUUAACUCAAAGGGGAAAAUGAUAUAAAAUAAAUUACACCGAAAUCCAGGAAAGAUUCCA
This 777-nucleotide long non-coding RNA is filed under the name Felis catus (domestic cat). RNAcentral describes it as "lncRNA (ENSFCAG00000048346.1)". The record is from RNAcentral. Lineage: Eukaryota; Metazoa; Chordata; Mammalia; Carnivora; Felidae.